AGAUCCCAGAUGUCAAAUAGCAGCAGCAGCUGGCUGCGUGACAGAUCCCUUAGGCUGCAGCUGGGUGAACACUCCUGGACUUAUUCUAGCUGUGUCAUAUAGAUGGAGGGAAGAUGAUGUUUUCUAUGAAAUAUCUGGAAACAGAUGGAUUCCUCUGGCUUGUGAACCUGUAUUUCUUUAAUGGUCCCACUAUUGUACAGAAUCAUAAAGGCAAUUCCAUAGAAUUCCCUGUCUGAAGAAGAAAUGUAAGUCAAGACAGGAAAAAAAUCCAACCAAGAGAAACAUGUCAAGAUGGCAUUGAGCUUAUCCAUGUACACUUCUGUCAGUGAGGAAAGAGCUACUUUUCUGUUCAAAUCUUCUUGAAAUUGGAGGCCUAGAGAAAAACAUCUAUCACAGGAAAACAGGGUUCUUGUCAAGUGCUAACAACUGUGUUUAAAUGCUGUAUUAAAAUGCUUGAAUUGUAA
Cyanistes caeruleus (blue tit) is the source of this 464-nucleotide long non-coding RNA. RefSeq lists it as uncharacterized. The record is from RefSeq and is a predicted model, not a curated record. Lineage: Eukaryota; Metazoa; Chordata; Aves; Passeriformes; Paridae.